RNAcentral lists this long non-coding RNA (339 nucleotides) under Vigna radiata. RNAcentral's name for it is "long non-coding RNA (VRAD_LNC006254)". The record is from RNAcentral. Lineage: Eukaryota; Viridiplantae; Streptophyta; Magnoliopsida; Fabales; Fabaceae.
AAAAGUGAAAAAUAAGUGUUGGGGGUUGGGAAAGGCCAUAAUGAAGAAUAUAUGCUCUUAAUAAAUGGAAAAUGAAGAGAAAAUUAAUAGAAAGAGAAAGAGAAGAAUGGAUUUGUAAUAUUUUUAUAUAAUGAUGUGGUGUAAGGAAAUUAUUGCAUAUAUAGGCAAAAGUUUUAUUAGAGUUAGUUUUAGUUGUUUUAUCAAACUAUGGCCAAGAGAGUAUUGCUAGCAAGACAAAAGCUAUGAAUAGAAAUAAGUAAGUAAAGAUGUUUAUGUAGUUUUAAAUCUUAACAUCUUACCUAAAUUUUUUCAUAGCAAAAUUAGAAAUAUUAAUAUACU